This 584-nucleotide ribosomal RNA is filed under the name uncultured fungus. Its description in RNAcentral is "SSU rRNA". It matches the Rfam family "Eukaryotic small subunit ribosomal RNA", at positions 1197 to 1802 of the family's 1831-position model. Lineage: Eukaryota; Fungi. The record is from RNAcentral.
GACUCAACACGGGGNAAACUCACCAGGUCCAGACACGAUGAGGAUUGACAGAUUGAGAGCUCUUUCUUGAUUUCGUGGGUGGUGGUGCAUGGCCGUUCUUAGUUGGUGGAGUGAUUUGUCUGCUUAAUUGCGAUAACGAACGAGACCUUAACCUGCUAAAUAGCCCGUAUUGCUUUGGCAGUACGCUGGCUUCUUAGAGGGACUAUCGGCUCAAGCCGAUGGAAGUUUGAGGCAAUAACAGGUCUGUGAUGCCCUUAGAUGUUNUGGGCCGCACGCGCGCUACACUGACAGAGCCAGCGAGUACUCCCUUGGCCGGAAGGCCCGGGUAAUCUUGUUAAACUCUGUCGUGCUGGGGAUAGAGCAUUGCAAUUAUUGCUCUUCAACGAGGAAUCCCUAGUAAGCGCAAGUCAUCAGCUUGCGUUGAUUACGUCCCUGCCCUUUGUACACACCGCCCGUCGCUACUACCGAUUGAAUGGCUCAGUGAGGCUUCCGGACUGGCCCAGAGAGGUCGGCAACGACCACUCAGGGCCGGAAAGCUAUCCAAACUCGGUCAUUUAGAGGAAGUAAAAGUCGUAACAAGGUUU